CAUCCAGCGAACUUUCCAGAGAUGGAUUGGUGCCUUCGGGAACGCUGAGACAGGUGCUGCAUGGCUGUCGUCAGCUCGUGUUGUGAAAUGUUGGGUUAAGUCCCGCAACGAGCGCAACCCUUAUCCUUUGUUGCCAGCGAUUCGGUCGGGAACUCAAAGGAGACUGCCGGUGAUAAACCGGAGGAAGGUGGGGAUGACGUCAAGUCAUCAUGGCCCUUACGAGUAGGGCUACACACGUGCUACAAUGGCGCAUACAAAGAGAAGCGACCUCGCGAGAGCAAGCGGACCUCAUAAAGUGCGUCGUAGUCCGGAUCGGAGUCUGCAACUCGACUCCGUGAAGUCGGAAUCGCUAGUAAUCGUGGAUCAGAAUGCCACGGUGAAUACGUUCCCGGGCCUUGUACACACCGCCCGUCACACCAUGGGAGUGGGUUGCAAAAGAAGUAGGUAGCUUAACCUUCGGGAGGGCGCUUACCACUUUGUGAUUCAUGACUGGGGUGAAGUCGUAACAAGGUAGGCGUAGCGAG
RNAcentral lists this ribosomal RNA (524 nucleotides) under uncultured bacterium. RNAcentral describes it as "bacterial SSU rRNA". It matches the Rfam family "Bacterial small subunit ribosomal RNA", at positions 985 to 1509 of the family's 1533-position model. The record is from RNAcentral.